Molecule: ribosomal RNA, 873 nt
Filed under: uncultured bacterium
Lineage: Bacteria
Description: bacterial SSU rRNA
Rfam family: Bacterial small subunit ribosomal RNA
Source: RNAcentral
AGAGUUUGAUCAUGGCUCAGGAUGAACGCUGGCGGCGUGCUUAACACAUGCAAGUCGAGCGAAGCGCUUUACUUGGAUUUCUUCGGAAUGACGAGUAUUGUGACUGAGCGGCGGACGGGUGAGUAACGCGUGGGUAACCUGCCUCAUACAGGGGGAUAACAGUUAGAAAUGACUGCUAAUACCGCAUAAGACCACAGCACCGCAUGGUGCAGAGGUAAAAACUCCGGUGGUAUGAGAUGGACCCGCGUCUGAUUAGCUGGUUGGUGGGGUAACGGCCUACCAAGGCGACGAUCAGUAGCCGGCCUGAGAGGGCGACCGGCCACAUUGGGACUGAGACACGGCCCAAACUCCUACGGGAGGCAGCAGUGGGGAAUAUUGCACAAUGGGGGAAACCCUGAUGCAGCGACGCCGCGUGAAGGAAGAAGUAUUUCGGUAUGUAAACUUCUAUCAGCAGGGAAGAAAAUGACGGUACCUGACUAAGAAGCCCCGGCUAACUACGUGCCAGCAGCCGCGGUAAUACGUAGGGGGCAAGCGUUAUCCGGAUUUACUGGGUGUAAAGGGAGCGUAGACGGAGAGGCAAGUCUGAUGUGAAAACCCGGGGCUCAACCCCGGGACUGCAUUGGAAACUGUUUUUCUAGAGUGUCGGAGAGGUAAGCGGAAUUCCUAGUGUAGCGGUGAAAUGCGUAGAUAUUAGGAGGAACACCAGUGGCGAAGGCGGCUUACUGGACGAUGACUGACGUUGAGGCUCGAAAGCGUGGGGAGCAAACAGGAUUAGAUACCCUGGUAGUCCACGCCGUAAACGAUGACUACUAGGUGUCGGGUGGCAAAGCCAUUCGGUGCCGCAGCCAACGCCAUAAGUAGUCCACCUGGGGA